GAAGCCGGAAUUGCUAGUAAUGGCAGGUCAGCAUACUGCCGUGAAUACGUUCCCGGGCCUUGUACACACCGCCCGUCACACCAUGAGAGUUGGGAAUACCCGAAGCCUGUGAGCUAACAUUAAGAGGCAGCAGUCGAAGGUAGAAUCAAUGAUUGGGGUGAAGUCGUAACAAGGUACC
Molecule: ribosomal RNA, 178 nt
Filed under: uncultured bacterium
Lineage: Bacteria
Description: partial 16S ribosomal RNA
Rfam family: Bacterial small subunit ribosomal RNA
Source: RNAcentral